Molecule: long non-coding RNA, 660 nt
Organism: Hibiscus syriacus
Lineage: Eukaryota; Viridiplantae; Streptophyta; Magnoliopsida; Malvales; Malvaceae
Exons: 4
Source: RefSeq, a predicted model, not a curated record
GUUAGAUUAUCAUAUAAAACUUUAUAGAGAUAUUUUUCUUAAAUGUUGGUUUAACUCUAGAAACGUAUAGGAAGCUUUUGGGGAUCCUAUUCUUGAUGGGCUGAUUGGAAGAAUCCGGAGUAUAAGUGCUUCCGGUGAAUGGAUAAAAUGUCAAAUAGGAGAAAGAAAUAGAAUGGUUAAGCAGUUUGAGACGACUACAACCAAGAAGGGUCAGUCCCGAUGGGGUGGUCCAAAGAGAUGAGAAGGUCUUCAGGUUUGCUCCUGAGAGAAACAUCCCUAUUGUCAUGGUUACGUCAGGUGGCUAUAUGAAAACCAGUGCCAGAGUCAGAGCAAAUUCCAUAAUAAACCUUUCAAAGGAAGGCUUGAUAGAUACAAAUGUCCGCAGCUGAAGAAGAUAAAUGACACUAUAUGUCAAUGAAGUACGAAGUUUAAAUUCCAUAAUAAACCUCUCAAAGAAAGGCUUGAUAGAUAAAGGUCAGUUCCCCAGAGGAAUCCUUCCGAUUGUAAGCAACCAAAUAGGAGAAACGAGGAGAUAGAAGUGUGAGUUUUAUGUAGAAAUAAUACUCGUAGGAGCAUGCGUGUGUUUCGAAUUCUUCUUCUUCGAGUAGUUAACCUUGCAGUUUUGUAUACCUAAAUAUAGUAAAAGGUUGCAAUGUUGAU